RNAcentral lists this long non-coding RNA (1068 nucleotides) under Sorghum bicolor (sorghum). RNAcentral describes it as "long non-coding RNA (SBIC_LNC000302)". The record is from RNAcentral. Lineage: Eukaryota; Viridiplantae; Streptophyta; Magnoliopsida; Poales; Poaceae.
CCUCUGAUAUAUUGACUUCACAUGUACCGAGUAAAUAUUGUUGUGUACCCAAACCAUGCGUACCCACACUAAUAAGUUAUCAUCCUACAAGAUACUAAGCCCUUGCUUGACUUGGGUCAGUUGGACAAAGGGAUCGAGGACUACAAGUAGGUGCGCUCGCGCACUCCCGUUGGAUUCAGCCAUUAUAGGGUCAGGGGAUCCUUAUCUAACCUCUUGAGAGACCAUUUGACUUGUAUGGGUGCCCCGACUAACAUGUCCAAGAUGUCUCAGAUUACUCGCCAGCCUCGUUGGGAUGAUAAGUGUUGGCGUGUUCCUCACCAUUAUGUUCCUCUCGUUGAGAUGACCGAAAAUGCAUAUAUAGACAUCGAAUUUGGAGUCUUCAUCACAAAAUUACACUCCAGGCAAGAUUCACCUGUAGAAAACCAAUUUUUAUUUCGAGAAAAAAUCUCAUAAUGUUAGGAUAUUAUUUUCUUUAGCAAUAUAUUUGUCAUUUAGAGGAGCACUUUUUCUCUAGCAGAACAUUUGCAAAGUUGAUUGGUGGGACACUUUGACAUUUACAAAAUUGGAAUGCCGGAACAUUUUUUGUUCUUGAACGAAACAUUCACAUAUUCAAAUAAUGGAUAUGCAAAACACGAAAUGCCCAAAAAGGAAUACUCUCUUUGUCCUAAAAUAUAAUGCAUUAUUAUUUCUAAAUUUUGUUCUGUAAUAUAAGCAUUUUAUGUGGUUUUGAUACUCAUAUUUGGCAAAGUUUAUUAAAAAAAAAUAAACCAUAGUUUGAGGAGGAACUCUUUAAUUGGGUAAUGUGUCAUUUGAGUAUUCGUUUAAGCUAUUCUGAUUCUUUGUAAUGCAUACAGGACGGAGGGACUAAUAAAUAUAUUGAAACAUAAAAAAUGAUAGAGGGCACAAAUAAACCAAGGCGUGGCCGAUCUUUUUCUCCACUCUCUGAGAUAAAAAAAAAACCGUUAGAAGCUUCUUUUACUAACCAAAAGGUAAGAAAGGCAGGGAAGAGCAAGAUUAUGCCGGGGAUAGAGGAGCAAGGAGUCACAACAAGAGGAACCCACUCAGGGG